RNAcentral lists this ribosomal RNA (273 nucleotides) under uncultured bacterium. RNAcentral describes it as "partial 16S ribosomal RNA". It matches the Rfam family "Bacterial small subunit ribosomal RNA", at positions 84 to 354 of the family's 1533-position model. The record is from RNAcentral.
CCCGCCGGCAACCGGCGCACGGGUGAGUAACACGUAUGCAACCUGGCCGCCACAGGGGGAUAACCCGCGGAAACGCGGCCUAAUACCCCGUGACGCCACCGGAGGGCAUCCUCCGGGUGGCCAAAGGAGCGAUCCGGUGGCGGAUGGGCAUGCGGCGCAUUAGCUAGACGGCGGGGUGACGGCCCACCGUGGCGACGAUGCGUAGGGGUUCUGAGAGGAAGGCCCCCCACACUGGGACUGAGACACGGCCCAGACUCCUACGGAAGGCAGCAG